UAGACACGGUGAAGGGGUAUAAGGCAAAAAUGAAGAGAACAGCUGGGAAGGUGUAUCAUGUGCUUGGAAGAUGAUUGGAGGAGCAUCCUUUCAAGAGGCUUGCUGAGAGUAUAGAAGCUGAACAAGACUUCACCCAUGUCAGACCGUCUGUAAUAGGAGAUGGACGGUUUCCUGGUCAUAACACCGACACAAUCAUUAAGGGCACAUGCUUGGUCUCCAUAUCCAAAGCAACAAUGGCUACCUUCUCUUUUGAACUCUACUUCUAUUAGCAGCAGCAAAAGUAAUAGCUUAAUGCGUGCAACAAAGUCUUCAGAUUAGUUCAGGCACCGUCUACUCCAGCAUUGAAAGUGGGAAAAAAUGUGUGCCACAAACUUCCCAAUUAGCUCAGGUAGGGUCCAAAUGUUUGGACUUUGAGACCAUGAGAAACCAAUCUGCUCAUUCUCAUUGAUUUGUUUAGCAGGUGGCCUCCUUGCUUCAACUGAAUUUUGAGUUUCUUAAUUCAUAUUUUAUCCUGAAAGUAAUUUAAAUCAUUGAGGUUGUAGCUUGUUUUAUUUUCAGCAAAUAGGAUGAAGCUUUCUCCUCAAACUACAACCUCUUCUCUCUAUCUUCCACAGUUUCCUCUACAAAAAGAUGCCUCUAGAGUCGUCCAGCAUCCAGCAACAGUUGGCUUUGGCUUAUGAUGUAUGUGGCAGAAGAUGUGGCGUUUUGUUUUUAGUCUCCUUAAUUCUGAACCAUUCAGUCCAAACGGGCAUCCACCUUACACUUAGGUAAGGUAAAGCUUCUCAAUAUUAUCUAUGUGAUGUGUGGUGUGUGGUGUGUGGUAUGUGGUAAAGAGCAAGCCAAACUUAAUAGCUAAAUCACCCAUUUCUGUGGGGUACGUUAGAUACACUCCACGUGAUUUUCAAUGAACAAAUAUGCAUCAUAACAACUGGCCAAAGAAAGAUUUUUCAUACUCAGAACUAUCAUAUAUAAGACUUCGAAGGAGCUUUCACAUUUUACAUCAUCCACAGCUGUCUAUAGUUUCUAUGUUAGGAUGGCACAUGUGUGGAACAUGAAUUCGACGUGUCGGUGUUCUAGUGUGUGUAGUUUUGAGCCAUUUUGGAGAAGUGAUUCUUUCCCCUGAUGCAUUCAACAAUGUACUGAGGGUGGUGACUUGCCCCUUUUCUAAAUGUAAUCAUGUUUUAUAUAUUUUUUUUAGAUCUAAGAAGCACUCACAGAAAGUGUGACCUGGGUAUGUAUAAAUAUCCCUGUUCUGAACAGAGAAAACUGUGAUCAUAUUGACUAUAGAAAUAGAGUAAAUUUUUUUAUUUUGUCUUUCUUUAUUUCUAAUUGUGUGUAUAAUUAGGUUAACGAAAGGACUGCACUGUUGUAGGAUUCCAUAUUAUCCAAAGCAACCAUGACGAUAUUAUCUUUUGAACUCUACUUCCAUUAGCAGCAGCAAAAGUAAUAGUGUUAAAAAUAAAUGCAAAUCAUUGUUGUAUGGUCUAAUGUAUGGGUAACAAAGACAACCGCUUUAUAAAAUCAUUGUGAAGCGCACUAUUUACAUCUUGUGAUAUCUUGUGGCUGAAGGGAGAAUCCCAUGACUAGUUAGUACCAGAGCAAAUGUGUCAGUGGAAAGAAUCAACUUUCUCAGGUACCAUAAAUAGGAAAAGGCUUCGAAAAUGGUUCAAAACUACAUUCGCUAGAACACUCACAAGUAGGAAUUCACGCUCUACACAUGUGCCAUCCUAAUUUAGUGUAGACAGCUCUAGAUGAUAAUAAAUAAUAUGAAGCUCCUUUCAAGUCCUAUAUAACACGAUUUGUUCAUUGAAAAUCAA
This is a long non-coding RNA of Vitis vinifera (wine grape), 1817 nucleotides long. RefSeq lists it as uncharacterized. The record is from RefSeq and is a predicted model, not a curated record. The transcript has 3 exons. NCBI's taxonomy places the organism in Eukaryota, Viridiplantae, Streptophyta, Magnoliopsida, Vitales, Vitaceae.